Molecule: transfer RNA, 68 nt
Filed under: Marmota monax (woodchuck)
Lineage: Eukaryota; Metazoa; Chordata; Mammalia; Rodentia; Sciuridae
Description: tRNA.Asp
Source: RNAcentral
GUUGUAACUCAGUGGUAGAGCAUUUGCCUGUCAUGUAUGGGGCCCUGGGUUUGAUCCUCAGUAUCACA